Molecule: long non-coding RNA, 3289 nt
Organism: Pleuronectes platessa (European plaice)
Lineage: Eukaryota; Metazoa; Chordata; Actinopteri; Pleuronectiformes; Pleuronectidae
Exons: 3
Source: RefSeq, a predicted model, not a curated record
UGUAAGCUGUGCUGUGUGUUGUGAGUUCGGCUUUAACCAGGUACAAGUGAACGCCUCAUGAAAUGGCUUACACCCACAUACCCAGUAAAUUACACACUUUGAUGUUCUGCUCCUUCUCCUGACGGUCACGGUAACGAUGUCUGCGCCUCCGUUUCUGUGGAUGUCCAGCGUAAGACACAACUUGAAUCCAACCAGACUGAACACUGACUCCAGGGACGGACGAGCCUGAAGGACACAGCUGUGAUGACCAAUUGACCAAGUUUUGUCUCUUAUGGCAAAGCAGAAAUAUUAAACACUGGGUUCUUAUCUAAAGUGUAUCAAAUCAGAAAGCAAAAGAUACACAUUGUUGUUAUAAGUUUUUAUUAUUUUAACCAACCAUAAUGAAGAUAGAAAUGAAUUCUUAUCCAUGCCACUUAGCAAUGACUGCCACCACCAAACAGUUGCAGGCCAUCUUUAUUUAAGGGAGGAAUUUAGAAGUGUUGUGUAGCUUCUGAUGAUGAUGCAGUCGUCCACGUGUUGACCACCAUGUUGCUGCUGACGACGUCAGGUGCUGCAGUUCCUCAUCUAUGAAGAGAAGAAACGCACAGUUAAAGAAUGUUUUGAGUUGUGUAUGAAGCACAACAGAUUUCAGAUAGAACCGUUGUACUGUGGUCUGGGUUUGUAUCCUAAUGGUUAAAUGCACAUAUUUUAAGUCGCUUUUGAUAAAAGUACUGAAAGAAAUACAACAUUGUAAAAAUAGAUAAAAUGUCUUUCUACCUCAUCUGUAAUAUUCAAGGUGAUAAUCUCCCACAGAGCUAUUGAUAACAGUCCACAUCAAGUCUCUCCACUUCCCUCAGUGUGAAAACAUAAUUAUAUAAUUAAUGUGAGAACUGUUUACAACACUGAUGUGUGGACAUUAUAAUCUUAUCUAUACUGUCUAAUUGACUCUACAACUCUAUGACAGACUAAAUUAACGAUGUGAAAAUAGUAAUGGUGGAUAUAUCAGCCUGUAUCAGAAUAAUGGUGAAACAUAGUUAUUAUCACAUGCAACUUACACAUGUAGCUGUUGAUAUUAACUUAUUAAAAUAAAACAAAGUCACAGCCAAACAUACGACUCUGCAGUUAACUUGCUUCAAUGUGUUCAUUAGACGUGUUAAAUAAACUAACUUUUAUAACAAUUUUAUAUUAAAAAAGCCUUGAGGCAUGUAAGUAUAUGGUGCUAGUUAAAGCAAUAGGUUUGGUUGUAUGGUUUCAAGGUUACUUACCUCUAGUUCAUAGAGCCUCCUGCUGGCUACAGGAAGUGAAGCAAUAAUCCUUGCCGCAGUGCACAAACGCAUGCAACGCAGAGACGAGCGCUUGGUCAUUGAACGUUCUCUCUUCACCGACCGCAACAGAAUAGAAAUUGCCUGUGCUCGGGCCCGUUAGUGCUACAACGUAGCCCUAGUUAUUAUUAUUAUUAUUAUUAUUAUUAUUAUUUCCCUUUGGGGGGCUUUUUCAGGGUCUAGACAUGCUCAAAAAGUUAUGAAACUUUGCAGGAAAUUCAAGGUCUGCGGAUAUUUUAGUAUUCUGGAGUAAUUGGAAUUGGGCGUGGCAAAAUGGCUCUACAGCGCCCCCUGGAACCAGCCCCUAGGUUUCCACAUAACGGAUUUUCAUCAAAAUCUGGAUAUAGGUGUAUCGUGACCAGUCAUGAAAAAAAGUCUCAUGGAGCAUUAUGAAAAACGCAACAGGAAGUCCGCCAUUUUGCUUUUAGUGGCCAUUUUGGCAAUAUCCCACAUUUUUACUUUUACGUACUUGUCCCAGGGCUUUCAUCAGAUCAACUUCAAAUUCAGAUGAGUGUCAUCACAACAAGAUGGAGAUAAAAAAUGAUUGAGGGAUUUUUUUUUUAUCACACCGUGUGACCGUGGCAUGGCGUUAAAAAUUGGUUACACGCCAUCAAAACACGGGCAUCUGUAUCUCGGACAUACAUGUUCCAAUCAAGUCCAAACUAGACAUGUAAGACAAUAGUCCCCGCCUGAUGACAUCUAUGCAUAAAUGAUGACUUAAAACCGCAGUGCCCCCUGGUGGCAACAGGAAAUGUCUUGUUUUUUGCUUGUCUUACACUUGGAUGAAUUUCUCCUCAUCCACUGACCUCAACCAUGUCAAACUGUAUCAAAUGGGUCCCAAGACAUUGACAAUGAAGACAUAAGAUUACCGUGACUUUUCGUCAAACGCCAUAUGAAUGGCGUGGCAUUAAAGUUCAUCAACUCGCCGUGAAACACGAAAUUGCUGUAACUUCAGUGUUCAUGAUUCUAUCUCUCUCAAACUACAUGUGUGUAACAACAGCCCCCCCCUGAAGAUAUUCAUAUGGUUUUAAGAAAUGGGCGUGGCAAAAAAACUGACCAGCGCCCCCUAUAGGGCAACCCCGGCACUACGAUGGCCGACAUUUAUACAAAUCUAUCGGGACAUGUGUCGUUUCAUAACAAACAAAAAAAUAUCUUGGAUAGGUAUGCUUGACCAAACAGGGAGGCCGCCAUUUUGGAUUAAGUGGCCAUUUUUUUUCCAUAUUCCACAUUUUUACUUGAUGCACUUGUCCCAGGGCUUUCAUCAGAUUAACUUCAAAUUAAGAUCAGUGCCAUCACAACAAGAUGGAGAUAAAAAGUGAUUAAGAGAUUGACCUUUCGUCACACCGUGUGACCGUGGCGUGGCGUCUUGAGUUUGAUUAAACGCCAUCAAAACACGAGGUUCUGUAUCUCGGACAUACAUUGUCCAAUCGAGUCCAAACUAGACAUGUAAGACAAGGGUGCCAUCCUGAUGACAUCUACACAGAAAUUAUGACUUGAAAUUACAGCGCCCCCUGGUGGCUACAGGAAGUGACAUGUUUUAUACUUUGAUGAACUGCUCCUGGCUGAUUUACAAUAUACAGCUCAAAUCAGAUCAGUCAAGUCAUUAGAUCAUGGUCAGAAUUGUGACGUUUCCUCAAACCGUGUAAACAUUGAUGUGCGGCGAAGGAUUUUCCUUCGCCAAAGGACACGAUGUUAUCAUAACUCCACUGUGCAUUGUCCUAUCACUACAAAACUUCUGUCACAUGGUCAGAGUCCAAGCCUGAACAGCUCUAUGUGUCAAUAUUUCCUCAGUGUCAUAGCGCCACCUACUGAUUCGCCAGGAAACAGGAAGUACUUUGUUAAUCCACUCUGCAUUAUCCAACCGGCUCCAAACUACUGACCUAUGAUCACAAUCCUGAAUAGAACAGCUCCAUAUAUGAAUAUUAGUUCAGGAUCAUAGCGCCACCUAUUGAUCAGUGUGAAAAUUAAGUUGCGGAAACAUUGUCCAA